Brachypodium distachyon (stiff brome) is the source of this 126-nucleotide non-coding RNA. The record is from Rfam. NCBI's taxonomy places the organism in Eukaryota, Viridiplantae, Streptophyta, Magnoliopsida, Poales, Poaceae.
AAUCUACUCCCUCCGUCCCAUAUUAAGUGACUUUCUAUUACAUGUAUGUAGACGUUUUUUAGGCAAUAGAUACAUUCAUAUUUGAACAAACUUGAGCCACUUAAUAUGAGACGGAGGGAGUAAUUU